AGCCUGUGCCCAGCAGCCCCUGAGAACCACGUCUGCUCUGAGCUGGGUACUGCCUGUUCAGAACAGACGCUGGUUCCCAGACGCUGCCAGCUGGCCCCGUUCCUCUGGAUU
Molecule: microRNA precursor, 111 nt
Organism: Chlorocebus sabaeus (green monkey)
Lineage: Eukaryota; Metazoa; Chordata; Mammalia; Primates; Cercopithecidae
Source: Ensembl